CCUACGGGAGGCAGCAGUGGGGGAUAUUGCACAAUGGGGGGAACCCUGAUGCAGCGACGCCGCGUGAGCGAAGAAGUACCUCGGUAUGUAAAGCUCUAUCAGCAGGGAAGAAAAUGACGGUACCUGACUAAGAAGCCCCGGCUAAAUACGUGCCAGCAGCCGCGGUAAAACGUAGGAGGCAAGCGUUAUCCGGAUUUACUGGGUGUAAAGGGAGCGCAGGCGGGCUGCCAAGUCCGGUGUGAAAACCCGGGGCCCAACCGCGAGCCUGCAUUGGAAACUGGCGGGCUGGAGGGUCGGAGGGGCAGGCGGAAUUGGUAGUGUAGCGGUGAAAUGCGUAGAUAUUAGGAAGAACACCGGUGGCGAAGGCAGCCUACUAGACGAUGACUGACGCUGAGGCUCGAAAGCGUGGGGAGCAAACAGGAUUAGAUACCCGGGUAGUC
Molecule: ribosomal RNA, 440 nt
Filed under: uncultured bacterium
Lineage: Bacteria
Description: partial 16S ribosomal RNA
Rfam family: Bacterial small subunit ribosomal RNA
Source: RNAcentral